UCACUCCUCAACUUUAUGUCUAUCUUUCUUUUUAUAGUCGAUUGACAUCGCAUUUUGUCUCAUUUUAUUUUAUUCAAUAUUCUACAAAAUAUUCCAGAAACGAACAAUCGAAAUUCAGGGGCGGAGUUGCAAAAAAAGCCGCAUUAAUUAUGAAUCAACCCAAUCCCAACAUGGAGAGAUUUUUCGAAUGAUACUGCCUCUAAAAUAAAAGGACCAAGGUCCUUCUUAGAAAAGAAGAAAAAAGAGUGACAGUCGCUAUCUGUUGGCCCCUCUCUGGGAGCAGCCGCGGUGGAAUUAAUAGCGUAACCUCGCCGAUCGUAAAGCAGCCGACCGGUAGCUGGAAGACCUGUCACAUUCUCCCAUGGUGAUCCCAGAAAUCUGAGAAACCACCUAAACUAAACAUAGCGACCUACCACGCUUCGCUGGUUUAUUUACGAACGCGGGAACCCUGAUGGAAAUCCUGCCGGUGGCUUGUGCGUGACUCGUUACACGCGGACGAAGGCAAGAAGCUGUUGGUCAAGUGACGCAGGGACGACGCUGGCAUUUCUCUGAACUUGUAAUUGUUGCUUUGUUGAGGGGAACCGCUCCCUUAAGACUUCGACACCUGGAACCACCAUAUUUGUGAUAUCCAACUGGAUAACUCCCCCCGGAAGAGAGGGGGGAAGGGGGGGGGCAGCCCUAUACUAAAUCGGAGGCUGGAAUGUUUGAUAAUGAUAAGAACGAUAGAAACAGAUAGACAUAGGGAAGAGACUUAACAUCUGUUCUUUGUCUUUUCCUACUAAAUCACCGCAAUUUCUGUCACUCCUUUCGUUUUCCCUCGGAUGAUGAAUGGUCCGUCGUUAGUGGCACAACCCUCUCCUUCGUCCACCGUACAUACACACACAUAUAUAUAUAUAUAUACAGAGAUCCAAUGACACGGUGCUCCGUUUUACGCCAGCAGUAAACCGUUCUGCAACGGGCUGUGCCACUCCAACGGGACGUAGGUAAAUACACCAGUGAGGAAACCACCCUGCUGCCGGUAAUGCUUGAACGCCGAUAGACGCGGAUGGAAAUAGAAACUGGCGAAAUCUUGCAGAUUUUCUCGAUGGAGGUUGGUCUCAGGGCCGGCCCUGAGAUUUCGGGGGUCCGAGGCGAGCGCCAAAAAAGGGCCCCUUCACAUAUAUGACAUAAAAAAAAA
This is a non-coding RNA of Osmia lignaria (orchard mason bee), 1177 nucleotides long. The record is from RefSeq and is a predicted model, not a curated record. NCBI's taxonomy places the organism in Eukaryota, Metazoa, Arthropoda, Insecta, Hymenoptera, Megachilidae.